Molecule: long non-coding RNA, 257 nt
Organism: Nymphalis io (European peacock)
Lineage: Eukaryota; Metazoa; Arthropoda; Insecta; Lepidoptera; Nymphalidae
Exons: 3
Source: RefSeq, a predicted model, not a curated record
CCUCGCUCAGCCACGAGAUACUCGGCUUCGAUGCUCAGGGUAAUGUCGUCAACUACGGUUGUUCCGAGCUGAUGACAGCGGAGCGCAUCGGAGAGAGGAGCGCCAAGCUGGUGUCUUUCCUGGACCUGGCGGGCCACAGCAAGUACCAACGCACCACGCUCCACGGGCUCACGGGUUACUCCCCGCACUACGCCAUGCUCGUUAUUUCGGCAACAGCCGGUAUAACUCGCAUCACAGAAGAACACAUCGGUCUUCUG